This 459-nucleotide ribosomal RNA is filed under the name uncultured bacterium. RNAcentral describes it as "partial 16S ribosomal RNA". It matches the Rfam family "Bacterial small subunit ribosomal RNA", at positions 338 to 795 of the family's 1533-position model. The record is from RNAcentral.
CCUACGGGAGGCAGCAGUGAGGAAUAUUGGUCAAUGGGAGAGAUCCUGAACCAGCCAAGCCGCGUGAGGGAAGACGGCCCUAUGGGUUGUAAACCUCUUUUGUCGGGGAACAAAACCCGGGACGUGUCCCGGACUCCGUGUCUCCGAAGAAAAAGCAUCGGCAAACUCCGCGCCAGCAGCAGCGGUAAUACGGAGGAUGCGGGCGUUAUCCGGAUUUAUUGGGUUUAAGGGGUGCGUAGGCGGUCCGUUAAGUUGGCGGUAAAAUUGCGGGGCUCAACCCCGUCGUGCCGUUGAAACUGGCAGACUUGAGUUGGCGAGAGGUACGCGGAAUGCGCGGUGUAGCGGUGAAAUGCAUAGAUAUCGGGAAGAACUCCGGUUGCGAAGGCAGCGUACCGGCGCCAGACUGACGCUGAGGCACGAAAGCGUGGGGAUCGAACAGGAUUAGAUACCCUAGUAGUC